RNAcentral lists this long non-coding RNA (258 nucleotides) under Solanum tuberosum (potato). RNAcentral describes it as "long non-coding RNA (STUB_LNC007934)". Lineage: Eukaryota; Viridiplantae; Streptophyta; Magnoliopsida; Solanales; Solanaceae. The record is from RNAcentral.
GAUUCUCAUUUGUUCUGAACUGGAAAGCCGUCUCUUUGGGUUGAUCUUCAUGAAAAAAUCUUCGCUUCUCGUGUGCACGAAAUGAUUCAACUAGCUCUUUGAUGGAAAGCUUGGAAAGAUCUUUCGUCUCCUCGGUGAUAACAACAAUGUACUCAUACUUUUCUGUGACACUAAUUAGAAUCUUUUCCACAAAUUGUUGGUCAGAAAUUGUAUCACCAUGAUUUCUCAUUUCAUUAACAAUAUUCAUGACUCUUGUGC